GACGAACGCUGGCGGCGUGCCUAAUACAUGCAAGUAGAACGCUGAAGCGAGGAGCUUGCUCUUCUUGGAUGAGUUGCGAACGGGUGAGUAACGCGUAGGUAACCUGCCUUGUAGCGGGGGAUAACUAUUGGAAACGAUAGCUAAUACCGCAUAACAAUGGAUGACACAUGUCAUUUAUUUGAAAGGGGCAAUUGCUCCACUACAAGAUGGACCUGCGUUGUAUUAGCUAGUAGGUGAGGUGAUGGCUCACCUAGGCGACGAUACAUAGCCGACCUGAGAGGGUGAUCGGCCACACUGGGACUGAGACACGGCCCAGACUCCUACGGGAGGCAGCAGUAGGGAAUCUUCGGCAAUGGGGGCAACCCUGACCGAGCAACGCCGCGGGAGGGAAGAAGGGUUUCGGAUCGUAAAGCUCUGUUGUAAGUCAAGAACGGGUGUGAGAGUGGAAAGUUCACACUGUGACGGUAGCUUAACAGAAAGGGACGGCUAACUACGUG
Molecule: ribosomal RNA, 497 nt
Filed under: uncultured bacterium
Lineage: Bacteria
Description: partial 16S ribosomal RNA
Rfam family: Bacterial small subunit ribosomal RNA
Source: RNAcentral